This 497-nucleotide ribosomal RNA is filed under the name uncultured bacterium. Its description in RNAcentral is "partial 16S ribosomal RNA". It matches the Rfam family "Bacterial small subunit ribosomal RNA", at positions 28 to 507 of the family's 1533-position model. The record is from RNAcentral.
GAUGAACGCUGGCGGCGUGCCUAAUACAUGCAAGUCGAGCGGACGGACGCUAAGCUUGCGUCUCUCAUGUUAGCCGCGCACGUGUGUGUCACACGUGGAUCCCCUCCCUGUCAGUCUGGUAUCACUUCGGAAAUCCGGCUCUUAUCCGAUAUGAUAUUUUGAUCCACAUUGUUCAAAAGUGAAUUACGGUCUUGCUGUCACUUAUAGCUGGAUCUCCGCUGCAUUAGCUAGUUGGUAAGGUAACGGCCUACCAAGGCAACGAGGCAUAGCCGACCUGAGAGGGGGAUAGGCCACACUGGAAGGGAGACACGGACCAGACGCCUAAGGGACGCAGCAGAAGGGAACCUUCCGCAAUGGGCGAAAGCCUGACGGAGCAACGCCGAGCGAGUGAUGAAGGUCCUCGGUUCGGAAAACUCUGUUACUAGGGAAGAACAUAUGUGUAAGUAACUGUGCACAGCUUGACGGUACCUAAUAAGAAAGCAACGGCUAACUACGUG